RNAcentral lists this unclassified non-coding RNA (247 nucleotides) under Hevea brasiliensis (rubber tree). The record is from RNAcentral. Lineage: Eukaryota; Viridiplantae; Streptophyta; Magnoliopsida; Malpighiales; Euphorbiaceae.
AAAAAAAAAAAAAAGAAAUGAAAGGAUUGUCAUUUCUAAAACCUCAAGAAACUUGAUGAUGCAAUGUGAAGCUCACAAAGAACACACACUCACAAACAUAGUGAAAAUAGAGAGAAAAAUUCUCCGCUGGAUUUCUAUUAACUGCAAACUACAACUAGAUUACAUAGAAUUUAGGGGUAUUUAUAGAGUUUUAAGUCUCCCAAACUAACUAGGAAUAUAUGUAAUGCAGAAUAGGAAGUUUAGAAUU